This 406-nucleotide ribosomal RNA is filed under the name uncultured bacterium. Its description in RNAcentral is "partial 16S ribosomal RNA". It matches the Rfam family "Bacterial small subunit ribosomal RNA", at positions 29 to 526 of the family's 1533-position model. The record is from RNAcentral.
AUUGAACGCUGGCGGCAGGCCUAACACAUGCAAGUCGAACGAGUGGCGGACGGGUGAGUAAUGUCUGGGAAACUGCCCGAUGGAGGGGGAUAACUACUGGAAACGGUAGCUAAUACCGCAUACCAUCGGAUGUGCCCAGAUGGGAGUAGCUUGUAGGGGAGGUAACGGCUCACCUAGGAGACGAUCCCUAGCUGGGCUGAGAGGAUGACCAGCCACACGGGAACUGAGAAACGGUCCAGACUCCGACGGGAGGCAGCAGGGGGGAAUAGUGCACAAUGGGCGCAAGCCUGAUGCAGCCAUGCCGCGGGUAUGAAGAAGGCCGUCGGGUUGUAAAGUACUUUCAGCGGGGAGGCGUUACCCGCAGAAGAAGCACCGGCUAACUCCGUGCCAGCAGCCGCGGUAAUUC